Argiope bruennichi is the source of this 1014-nucleotide long non-coding RNA. RefSeq lists it as uncharacterized. The record is from RefSeq and is a predicted model, not a curated record. The transcript is spliced from 5 exons. NCBI's taxonomy places the organism in Eukaryota, Metazoa, Arthropoda, Arachnida, Araneae, Araneidae.
UCUUUGCAUGCUAGAAUAAUUUUUUUAAAUGAUUUUUGUUAAACCUUGAAUAUUUUGAAUUGUGCUGGGAUAGAUAUAUUUUAUAAUUUAGUAUCUUUUGCGUUAUUAAGCAACUUCUUAGUAUUUUGAUGGAACAAUGGUACCCUCCCCCAACCCUCGUCUAUGGAAUGACUUUUUUUCAGUUUUUGUCACAAAUUCUAUCAACUAGCAAUUUGGAUGACCAAGAAACUACAUCAGAAUGAUAGAUAAUGUAUAUAUAGGUUAGAACACUAACAACCUUUUGCCGACUAAAGGCUUGCGACUCGCCAGCAGAAGUGAGAUUGCUUCCUUGGUUCUCUCUCGUGUUCCGAGCUGACAUGAACUACGCUGGAUGCUGUGAAAAGUUCGCUAAAGAUGGCAUCAAAAUAUUAAAUCUAAGUAUCCAUUUAGUUCCUUGAUUAUAAUACUAAAAUUGCGAAAACAUGACAUCCUGUAAUCAUUUUAUUUAUUCUUCUAGUCGAAUGAGUUGCAAGUUAUAAGGAGAGAAAACAUUAUUACUUAGAAACAUCUAUCGAAACAUAUGCAGCAUUCCCAUCUCUUUCUCAACAUAAGAAUCGGCUGAAUCGAAAAACGGGCCAUUCUGACAUCAAUUUCUGUAAAGGGCCGAAUAAAUCAGACGCCACAGAAUGGAGCCAGCAUGCGAGAGCCUUCUGCAUGUAGCCGUCCUCCCCAGGAAAAUGUUUCCAGGCAAGUAACGAACCACUUAGUGCUAAAACAAGACAAGAAAUGUUUCCAGGCGAUGUGUAAGUGUCAUAUUUGCAGAGUGACUACUUCAGUUUCUGUCAGAUUCUCUAUCAGCAAUCUGUAUGAUGGCAAAUAUUUUCUCAUAAUGGUAUUAGUAUAUACAAGUUGGAAAACCUACUGCUUAUAUAAUUGCUCUUUUUCUGAGUGAAGACUUCCUAUUUACACCUAAAGUAAGACGGCUUUCAUGAAUCCACAUAUGUCCUGAAUCGAACCCAUUUAUGCUGAAUGUGG